Non-coding RNA from Danio rerio (zebrafish), 732 nucleotides. The record is from Ensembl. Lineage: Eukaryota; Metazoa; Chordata; Actinopteri; Cypriniformes; Danionidae.
AUUACGAACACCUGACCUGCAGUGCAGCAGAAUUCAGAGACAUGUAACUUACUCCAGAGACUCACUAACUUGCACAGCAUUGAAUGGAAAAGGCUUUGUCCAUGUAAGUUUACUUUACCUUUAACUAAGCUAUCUGUUAAAUCUUCUUAGUGCUUUGGUUAACCAAAAGCAUGGUGAUAUUCUCUUUCUAAUAUGUUUGUUUAUUGAUUGUUAGGCUAUGUUGUUAUAUUAUAUUGUUAUAUUGAUAUUAUUAUUGUGAAAUCAUGUUGUGAUGUUAUACUAUGUGACAGUAUUGGGGAACAAAUAUGUAUUUAGUGAGAAAUUAAUGCUUAAAUUACACUUUGUAUAGUAGCAGAUAAAAGGUGUAAUGGGUUUUAACUUUCUGAGUUUUCUGGAAGGUCCAGUUGAGGGGCAUCAAGAACACGCAGAUAGCCUACCUGGACAGACUGCAGUUCUGCUACUCCAUGCCAAGGCUUUUGUAUGGAUGUCUGACUACUACUGUGUUCUCUAAAGGUUUUCUGGAAGCUCCAGUUGAGGGCGUCAAGGACAAACCGAUGGCCUAAACAAGUGUCAGCCUGGACAGACAGACAGACAUCUAUUGCAGUUCUGCUACACAAGACCAAACUCUCUGCUUUUGUAUGGAUGUCUGACUAGUACGGUGUUCUCUGAAGGUAUUACUGGAGCAAAACGACAGCACCCGUUACAGUGAAAUUUGUGUUCAUUAAAGAUAGU